AGCUCCAAUAGCGUAUAUUAAAGUUGUUGCAGUUAAAAAGCUCGUAGUUGAAUUUCUAGGCAAGUAUAACUUGGACUUUGUUCGGUUAUAUUUGUCUAUCCGACAUUGAACUAUAUUGGAUAUUAAGUUAUCCGUAUAGCGAACUGUCAUUUUACUUUGAAAAAAUUAGAGUGUUUCAGGCAGGCAAUUGCCCGAAUAUCUUAGCAUGGAAUAAUGGAAUAGGACUUUGGUUCAUUUGAUUGGUUAUUGAAUCAGAGUAAUGAUUAAUAGGGACAGUUGGGGGCAUUAGUAUUUAAUUGUCAGAGGUGAAAUUCUUGGAUUUAUUAAAGACUAACUUAUGCGAAAGCAUUUGCCAAGGAUGUUUUCA
RNAcentral lists this ribosomal RNA (367 nucleotides) under uncultured eukaryote. RNAcentral's name for it is "SSU rRNA". It matches the Rfam family "Eukaryotic small subunit ribosomal RNA", at positions 587 to 972 of the family's 1831-position model. The record is from RNAcentral.